Molecule: transfer RNA, 74 nt
Filed under: Caudoviricetes sp.
Lineage: Duplodnaviria; Heunggongvirae; Uroviricota; Caudoviricetes
Description: tRNA-Gly
Rfam family: tRNA
About the family: Transfer RNA (tRNA) molecules are approximately 80 nucleotides in length.
Source: RNAcentral
GCAGCCGUGGCCUAAUGGCAGGGCACCAGCUUCCCAAGCUGGGGGUGCGGGUUCGAUUCCCGUCGGCUGCUCCA